UCAGUGCAAAAAACCUGACCUCACGGCAAGCUUGGUUGCCGGUGGAGGAAUGGCUUUAUUACACGCCCCAAUAUAACCAUGAAGUGAUGCGCAAGCGCCACGGGAAUGCGAAUACUGGGAAGAUUGUGGAAGUGCGAAACACGAAAUAAUCCGUAG
Molecule: small RNA, 156 nt
Filed under: bovine gut metagenome
Description: Clostridiales-1 RNA
Rfam family: Clostridiales-1 RNA
Source: RNAcentral